AAGCUCGUAGUUGAAUUUCGGGAUUAGUACGUCGGUCGUGCCUUAGGUACGUACUGGUGUUACUGGUUCCUACCUUCUGACGAACCAUCAUGUCACUAAUUUGGUGUGGUGGGGAAUCAGGACUGUUACUUUGAAAAAAUUAGAGUGUUUAAAGCAGGCUCGCGCUUGAAUACAUUAGCAUGGAAUAAUGAAAUAGGACGUUGAUCCUAUUUUGUUGGUUUCUAGGAUUGACGUAAUGAUUAAUAGGGAUAGUUGGG
This 257-nucleotide ribosomal RNA is filed under the name uncultured Glomus. RNAcentral describes it as "partial 18S ribosomal RNA". It matches the Rfam family "Eukaryotic small subunit ribosomal RNA", at positions 624 to 886 of the family's 1831-position model. Lineage: Eukaryota; Fungi; Glomeromycota; Glomeromycetes; Glomerales; Glomeraceae. The record is from RNAcentral.